UAGUAACGGCGAGUGAAGCGGCAACAGCUCAAAUUUGAAAUCUGGCCCUCGGGUCCGAAUUGUAAUUUGUAGAGGAUGAUUUUGGUGCGGUAUCUUCCGAGUUCCUUGGAACAGGACGCCUUAGAGGGUGAGAGCCCCGUACGGUUGAAUGCCUAGCCUCUGUAAAUCUCCUUCGACGAGUCGAGUAGUUUGGGAAUGCUGCUCUAAAUGGGAGGUAAAUUUCUUCUAAAGCUAAAUAUUGGCCAGAGACCGAUAGCGCACAAGUAGAGUGAUCGAAAGAUGAAAAGCACUUUGAAAAGAGGGUUAAAUAGCACGUGAAAUUGUUGAAAGGGAAGGAUUUGUGACCAGACUUUUUCUGGGCGGAUCAUCCGGGGUUCUCUCCGGUGCACUUUGCCCAGUAAAGGCCAGCAUCGAUUUUCGGCGGCGGAUAAAAGCAGUGGGAAUGUGGCUCCCUACGGGGAGUGUUAUAGCCCAUUGUAUAAUACGCUGCUGGGGAUCGAGGUACGCGCUUCUGCAAGGAUGCGCGAAGAAGGGGGAUCAAUCACCCGUCUUAA
Molecule: ribosomal RNA, 554 nt
Filed under: Pestalotiopsis portugallica
Lineage: Eukaryota; Fungi; Ascomycota; Sordariomycetes; Amphisphaeriales; Sporocadaceae
Description: partial large subunit ribosomal RNA
Rfam family: Eukaryotic large subunit ribosomal RNA
Source: RNAcentral